ACCUGCUGGUCUCACCGCUAGGGCCUGGGCAUCACAGGCAGGGGGAAUGGGGAGGGGACGGUAGCGUCAGCCUACACCCACACGCAGUUUCCUGAUAAAAGGUCCUUUGGAAACUUUGAUUCUCUUCUCACCAAGUUGAACGGAGAUGUGUUCCCAUAGUAAGAGUGAGGCCCCUGCAUUUGCUGCCCUCGGUUUUCCCAACUAACACCAGGGCCUCCCCCCUGUACCCCAUUCAUAUGCCUCAGAAGCUGACAAUGACUGUUGGGCUUUUCCAAUGAAUACCAGAACACCAUUUCCUGCAGCCUGAAAAGAAGACAGUAUAAUUGUUUGGCAGCAAGAGAAUCCAGGUGCCCUUCCAUGAGAAGCCCAAGCCAUGUGGAGAAGCCACGUCUAGGGACUCCAGUUAACACUCUCAGCUGAGUCCCCAGCUGACAGUCAGCAUCAACUGCCAGCCACCUCUGUCUAAAAGUGGGCUAUCUUGGGCAUCCAGCCCAGUCAAGCCUUCAGAUGAGUCCAGUCCCAGCCACUAUCUCACACAACCACACGAGAGACAUCAAGAACUCCCAGUGGAGUCCAGUCAGCCCAUGGAACUGCAAGAGACAGGAUCUCGCUGCGUUGCUCAGACUGGUCUCGAACUCCUGGGCUUAAGGGAUUCUCCUGCCUCAAUCACAGCCUCCCAAGUAGCUGAGAUUAAAAGUGCUCACCACCGUGCCAGCGAGUUCAGUUUUUGAGUGUCCUCCGACACUGACUCUGUGCUUGGCCCUGUGACUUGCUUUGGCCAAUGGUACAGCAGCAAACUUGAUGCAAACACAACUUGAAAAAGAAGAGGACAGCCAAGUCAUCCCAGCCAAGGCCACCCUGGACCAGCCAGCCUCUUGCCAAGCUGCCAGUGACCACAGAGUCCAAUUAACAACAGCCAGUCCUGGCCCAGGCCAAGCUCAUAUGCCAAUUUCCUCAUGGAACCUUUCACUCCUCCAUCUCUUCGCCAAGUUGAAAUGUUAACUUCUGCUUCUCUGGGAUACUUCGGACCUUUGUUUAAAGCUCUCCCAUCUGCUUUCUGCGCUAUGUUUAGGGUUAUGUCUGGAUGGGAAUAGGUCUGUCUCUUGCCACUACUGGUAAAAUUGGUUCUUGCUUAGCAUGAUGUGGGCUCCCCACAUCUGGCACAGUGACUUGCGCAGGGUGGAGCCAAGACUCUGAGGAGAGGGCUGAACUGUGAACCUAGAAGUACCAUCUCCCCCUGCACACACCUUUGGUCAAGUUGACCCCAAGAAGAAGGACAAGUCCUCUGCACGGCGAUGAGGCCAUACACACAGUCUGUGGCCCGGCUUUGGGAGACUGAUGGGACAAAGGAUGUUUUGCACGAUCCUUGGUCUCUGAGCAAAUAUAUACAUGGGUUAACACAAA
RNAcentral lists this long non-coding RNA (1404 nucleotides) under Homo sapiens (human). RNAcentral describes it as "novel transcript". The record is from RNAcentral. Lineage: Eukaryota; Metazoa; Chordata; Mammalia; Primates; Hominidae.